GCGGAUGUGGUGGAAUUGGCAGACACGCCAGAUUUAGGUUCUGGUGUCUACGACAUGCAGGUUCAAGUCCUGUCAUCCGCACCA
RNAcentral lists this transfer RNA (84 nucleotides) under Ruminococcaceae bacterium CPB6. Its description in RNAcentral is "tRNA-Leu". It matches the Rfam family "tRNA". From Rfam's summary of the family: Transfer RNA (tRNA) molecules are approximately 80 nucleotides in length. The record is from RNAcentral. RNAcentral also lists the same sequence under 3 other names. Lineage: Bacteria; Bacillati; Bacillota; Clostridia; Eubacteriales; Oscillospiraceae.